GACGAACGCUGGCGGCGUGCCUAAUACAUGCAAGUAGAACGCUGAAGGAGGAGCUUGCUUCUCUGGAUGAGUUGCGAACGGGUGAGUAACGCGUAGGUAACCUGCCUGGUAGCGGGGGAUAACUAUUGGAAACGAUAGCCAAUACCGCAUAAGAGUAGAUGUCGCAUGACAUUUGCUUAAAAGGUGCAAUUGCAUCACUACCAGAUGGACCUGCGUUGUAUUAGCUAGUUGGUGAGGUAACGGCUCACCAAGGCAACGAUACAUAGCCGACCUGAGAGGGGGAUCGGCCACACUGGGACUGAGACACGGCCCAGACUCCUACGGGAGGCAGCAGUAGGGAAUCUUCGGCAAUGGACGGAAGUCUGACCGAGCAACGCCGCGUGAGUGAAGAAGGUUUUCGGAUCGUAAAGCUCUGUUGUAAGAGAAGAACGAGUGUGAGAGUGGAAAGUUCACACUGUGACGGUAUCUUACCAGAAAGGGACGGCUAACUACGUG
Molecule: ribosomal RNA, 495 nt
Filed under: uncultured bacterium
Lineage: Bacteria
Description: partial 16S ribosomal RNA
Rfam family: Bacterial small subunit ribosomal RNA
Source: RNAcentral